RNAcentral lists this ribosomal RNA (654 nucleotides) under uncultured archaeon. RNAcentral describes it as "bacterial SSU rRNA". It matches the Rfam family "Archaeal small subunit ribosomal RNA", at positions 508 to 1160 of the family's 1478-position model. The record is from RNAcentral.
GCCUAAAGCGUCCGUAGCCGGCUCUGUAAGUUUUCGGUUAAAUCCAUAUGCUCAACAUAUGGGCCGCCGGAAAUACUACAAAGCUAGGGAGUGGGAGAGGUAGACGGUACUCCGUAGGAAGGGGUAAAAUCCUUUGAUCUAUGGAUGACCACCUGUGGCGAAGGCGGUCUACCAGAACACGUUCGACGGUGAGGGAUGAAAGCUGGGGGAGCAAACCGGAUUAGAUACCCGGGCAGUCCCAGCUGUAAACUAUGCAAACUCAGUGAUGCAUUGGCUUGUGGCCAGUGCAGUGCCGCAGAGAAGUCGUUAAGUUUGCCGCCUGGGAAGUACGUACGCAAGUAUGAAACUUAAAGGAAUUGGCGGGGGAGCACCACAAGGGGUGAAGCCUGCGGUUCAAUUGGAGUCAACGCCAGAAAUCUUACCCGGAGAGACAGCAGGAUGAAGGUCAAGCUGAAGACUUUACCAGACAAGCUGAGAAGUGGUGCAUGGCCGUCGCCAGCUCGUGCCGUGAGGUGUCCUGUUAAGUCAGGUAACGAGCGAGAUCCUUGCUUCUAGUUGCCACCAUUACUCUCAGGAGUAGUGGGGCGAAUUAGCGGGACUGCCGUAGUUAAUACGGAGGAAGGAGAGGGCCACGGCAGGUCAGUAUGCCCCGAA